CUACGUGCCAGCAGCCGCGGUAAUACGGAGGGUGCGAGCGUUAAUCGGAAUAACUGGGCGUAAAGGGCACGCAGGCGGCUAUUUAAGUGAGGUGUGAAAUCCCCGGGCUUAACCUGGGAAUUGCAUUUCAGACUGGGUAGCUAGAGUACUUUAGGGAGGGGUAGAAUUCCAUGUGUAGCGGUGAAAUGCGUAGAGAUGCGGAGGAAUACCGAAGGCGAAGGCAGCCCCUUGGGAAUGUACUGACGCUCAUGUGCGAAAGCGUGGGGAGCAAACAGGAUUAGAUACCCUGGUAGUCCACGCUGUAAACGCUGUCGAUUUGGGGAUUGGGCUUUAAGCUUGGUGCCCGUAGCUAACGUGAUAAAUCGACCGCCUGGGGAGUACGGCCGCAAGGUUAAAACUCAAAUGAAUUGACGGGGGCCCGCACAAGCGGUGGAGCAUGUGGUUUAAUUCGAUGCAACGCGAAGAACCUUACCUACUCUUGACAUCCAUGGAAUCCUGUAGAGAUACGGGAGUGC
RNAcentral lists this ribosomal RNA (515 nucleotides) under uncultured bacterium. RNAcentral's name for it is "bacterial SSU rRNA". It matches the Rfam family "Bacterial small subunit ribosomal RNA", at positions 501 to 1017 of the family's 1533-position model. The record is from RNAcentral.